This 2134-nucleotide ribosomal RNA is filed under the name Escherichia coli. Its description in RNAcentral is "partial 23S ribosomal RNA". It matches the Rfam family "Bacterial large subunit ribosomal RNA", at positions 711 to 2825 of the family's 2925-position model. The record is from RNAcentral. Lineage: Bacteria; Pseudomonadati; Pseudomonadota; Gammaproteobacteria; Enterobacterales; Enterobacteriaceae.
AGACCCGAAACCCGGUGAUCUAGCCAUGGGCAGGUUGAAGGUUGGGUAACACUAACUGGAGGACCGAACCGACUAAUGUUGAAAAAUUAGCGGAUGACUUGUGGCUGGGGGUGAAAGGCCAAUCAAACCGGGAGAUAGCUGGUUCUCCCCGAAAGCUAUUUAGGUAGCGCCUCGUGAAUUCAUCUCCGGGGGUAGAGCACUGUUUCGGCAAGGGGGUCAUCCCGACUUACCAACCCGAUGCAAACUGCGAAUACCGGAGAAUGUUAUCACGGGAGACACACGGCGGGUGCUAACGUCCGUCGUGAAGAGGGAAACAACCCAGACCGCCAGCUAAGGUCCCAAAGUCAUGGUUAAGUGGGAAACGAUGUGGGAAGGCCCAGACAGCCAGGAUGUUGGCUUAGAAGCAGCCAUCAUUUAAAGAAAGCGUAAUAGCUCACUGGUCGAGUCGGCCUGCGCGGAAGAUGUAACGGGGCUAAACCAUGCACCGAAGCUGCGGCAGCGACACUGUGUGUUGUUGGGUAGGGGAGCGUUCUGUAAGCCUGUGAAGGUGUGCUGUGAGGCAUGCUGGAGGUAUCAGAAGUGCGAAUGCUGACAUAAGUAACGAUAAAGCGGGUGAAAAGCCCGCUCGCCGGAAGACCAAGGGUUCCUGUCCAACGUUAAUCGGGGCAGGGUGAGUCGACCCCUAAGGCGAGGCCGAAAGGCGUAGUCGAUGGGAAACAGGUUAAUAUUCCUGUACUUGGUGUUACUGCGAAGGGGGGACGGAGAAGGCUAUGUUGGCCGGGCGACGGUUGUCCCGGUUUAAGCGUGUAGGCUGGUUUUCCAGGCAAAUCCGGAAAAUCAAGGCUGAGGCGUGAUGACGAGGCACUACGGUGCUGAAGCAACAAAUGCCCUGCUUCCAGGAAAAGCCUCUAAGCAUCAGGUAACAUCAAAUCGUACCCCAAACCGACACAGGUGGUCAGGUAGAGAAUACCAAGGCGCUUGAGAGAACUCGGGUGAAGGAACUAGGCAAAAUGGUGCCGUAACUUCGGGAGAAGGCACGCUGAUAUGUAGGUGAAGUCCCUCGCGGAUGGAGCUGAAAUCAGUCGAAGAUACCAGCUGGCUGCAACUGUUUAUUAAAAACACAGCACUGUGCAAACACGAAAGUGGACGUAUACGGUGUGACGCCUGCCCGGUGCCGGAAGGUUAAUUGAUGGGGUCAGCGCAAGCGAAGCUCUUGAUCGAAGCCCCGGUAAACGGCGGCCGUAACUAUAACGGUCCUAAGGUAGCGAAAUUCCUUGUCGGGUAAGUUCCGACCUGCACGAAUGGCGUAAUGAUGGCCAGGCUGUCUCCACCCGAGACUCAGUGAAAUUGAACUCGCUGUGAAGAUGCAGUGUACCCGCGGCAAGACGGAAAGACCCCGUGAACCUUUACUAUAGCUUGACACUGAACAUUGAGCCUUGAUGUGUAGGAUAGGUGGGAGGCUUUGAAGUGUGGACGCCAGUCUGCAUGGAGCCGACCUUGAAAUACCACCCUUUAAUGUUUGAUGUUCUAACGUGGACCCGUGAUCCGGGUUGCGGACAGUGUCUGGUGGGUAGUUUGACUGGGGCGGUCUCCUCCUAAAGAGUAACGGAGGAGCACGAAGGUUGGCUAAUCCUGGUCGGACAUCAGGAGGUUAGUGCAAUGGCAUAAGCCAGCUUGACUGCGAGCGUGACGGCGCGAGCAGGUGCGAAAGCAGGUCAUAGUGAUCCGGUGGUUCUGAAUGGAAGGGCCAUCGCUCAACGGAUAAAAGGUACUCCGGGGAUAACAGGCUGAUACCGCCCAAGAGUUCAUAUCGACGGCGGUGUUUGGCACCUCGAUGUCGGCUCAUCACAUCCUGGGGCUGAAGUAGGUCCCAAGGGUAUGGCUGUUCGCCAUUUAAAGUGGUACGCGAGCUGGGUUUAGAACGUCGUGAGACAGUUCGGUCCCUAUCUGCCGUGGGCGCUGGAGAACUGAGGGGGGCUGCUCCUAGUACGAGAGGACCGGAGUGGACGCAUCACUGGUGUUCGGGUUGUCAUGCCAAUGGCACUGCCCGGUAGCUAAAUGCGGAAGAGAUAAGUGCUGAAAGCAUCUAAGCACGAAACUUGCCCCGAGAUGAGUUCUCCCUGACCCUUUAAGG